This 73-nucleotide transfer RNA is filed under the name Agrococcus casei. RNAcentral's name for it is "tRNA-Arg". It matches the Rfam family "tRNA". From Rfam's summary of the family: Transfer RNA (tRNA) molecules are approximately 80 nucleotides in length. Lineage: Bacteria; Bacillati; Actinomycetota; Actinomycetes; Micrococcales; Microbacteriaceae. The record is from RNAcentral. RNAcentral also lists the same sequence under 1 other name.
GCCCCCGUAGCUCAGCGGAUAGAGCAGGAGCCUUCUAAUCUCUUGGUCACAGGUUCGAUUCCUGUCGGGGGCG